Molecule: unclassified non-coding RNA, 3900 nt
Filed under: Amphibalanus amphitrite
Lineage: Eukaryota; Metazoa; Arthropoda; Thecostraca; Balanomorpha; Balanidae
Description: vegetative cell wall protein gp1-like, transcript variant X1
Source: RNAcentral
GGCCACCCUGGCUUCCGCAGCGCCAUCUGUGCCAGGUGUCAGCACUGUCGCUCGCCCCAGGCGGUGAAUGAUCCGCCAUCUUCGCCUUUUCCUUCCGCCUGCAACCUCGUCCAAUCAGAGACGCGCUGCGGCAAUGCAUGCAUUGCACUGAAAGAAGAAAUUCACUUUUUUGCUAUGCAUUGGGCGUGUUGCACGUGAGCACGUGCGGUGAAGGGUCGCCAUGACCGAGCAGCGCUUCUGCCUGCGGUGGAACCACCACCAGACCACACUCAUCAACGUGUUUGACUCGCUACUCAAGGACGAGAGCCUGGUGGACGUGACGCUGUACGCCGAGGGACGGCCCGUCAAGGCGCACAAGGUUGUCCUCUCAGCAUGCAGCCAGUACUUCAAAGCCAUCUUUUCUGCCCACACCGAGUCUCACCCGGUGAUAAUCAUCAACAAUGUGCUGCACAGCGAGCUGCGCGCGCUGGUCGACUACAUGUACCGCGGCGAGGUGAACGUGUGCCAGGACCAGCUCUCCUCCUUCAUCAAGGCGGCCGAGUCGCUCAAGAUCAAGGGUCUGGCGGACGGCAGUGAGCGCCGUGCGCCGGUGUCCGCGCCGCCCUCGCCGCCGCCGCCGCCACCGGUGCCGUUCCAAACGGUACCGGCACGCCCGGCCAGCCCUCGCUCCGUGCGCGACUCACCGGUGCCGAUACCGCUGACCGGGCAGCCGAACGGACGCGUCUCGCCGCCGCCGGCCAAGCGGCCGCGGCCGGCCUCUGUGGACGGCGCUCCGCCGGCGGGCGCCGCGCUCUGGGAGCCGGCGGCGCGGCCGGCCAGCGCUGAGGAGCGCUCCGAGACGGCGCGCUCGCCGGGCUCGGGCGCCGGCCUGCCGCGGAUCCCUGCCACCAUCACCCCGCUGUCCGCCGGCCGGCCCGCCGAGCAGCCCUCUCCGCCGCCGGUCGGCGCGCCGCCACUGCCGCCGCCACCGCCGCAGCCGACCGCCGCCGAGCCGGAGCCGCCGGCGGUGAUGAAGGAGGAACACCACGACAACAGCCACAUGAAGGACGAGGGGGCCGAGGAUAACGAGAGCGACCCAGAGACGGACGGGGUGGACGGAGGUGACCCGGGGCCGUCGGGUCACAGUCUGCCGCAGACGCCGCCGCACCCUGCAGCGAUGCCGCCAGGGUUCCUGAACUGGCCGCUGGGCGGCGCUGACGGCGCCGAGGGACCGUUCGGCGGCGGCGUGGCUACCUCUGAGGCCGGCACUCCGCAAGGUGCCGUGUGCGCUCCCCGCGGUGUUCGCGAGUUGUUGGCGCGGCGGCCGGCGGCGGCGGCCGUGCGGGAGUGGGUGGCCGGCAUGCUGCCCCGGCUGCCGCCCCCGCCCCCGCCCCCGCCGGCGCCGCUGCCGACGCCCUCCCAGCUGCCGGUGAGCUGUGAACGCUGCGGACGCGCCUAUGCCACCACGUCGUCCCUGAACCGACACCUGCGCUACGAGUGUGGCCAGCCGCCCCAGUUCGCGUGCCCCGUCUGCAUGAUGCCCUUCAAGCACAAGCACAAUAUGCGUACCCACGUGCGCGUGCAUCACGGCAGCCUGUUGUGAGGACCGCGGGCGGCCCGCCCGGAGGAUGGACUAGGCCGGGUCGGGCUGAGCCGAGAGGACGGCGAAAGAAUGAGAGAGUGAGAAAGACAAGUGGAGUGCAAAGAAGUGACUGAGCAAGUGUGGCAGACGUGUAAUGAGCUCUCCUGAGUGCCGACAUUCUUACAGCGAAGAGUGCGGAGUGCAGGGUAGCAUUGGGAUCUCGUCACCUAAUUGUCCUGACCUACGGAGGAGCUGCCACGCCGCAGUCGCAGUGGGACCACGACAGGCGGCGGCGGCCGCGCCGCGCCGCGCCGCAGAGCUCAAGACGCGUACAUCCAGCAGGCGCUGUUCCGCCGGCUGCUCGAGCAGCGCCGCUACGAGCAGCUGAUGGCUCGCGCGCCGCCGCCGCCGCCGCCGCCGGGCGCCGGCCUGGGCCCGUCGCCGGGCCCCAUCCCGGGCCUGGUGCGCGGCCUCAGCCUGCCGCCCAUGCUGCGGCCGGGCAUGGUCAGCUCGCCGGCGCGCCAGUACAACUGCGAGCGCUGCGGCCGACAAUACACCUCCAGCGGCAACCUGAAGCGGCAUGUCAAAUACGAGUGCGGCGUCGAGCCCCAGUUCCAGUGCCCCGUCUGCAAGAAGAAGUUCCAGCACCGGCACUCGGUCAAGAUCCACGUGGUGUCCACGCACAAAUCGGAGAAUCCGGAGCUGAUCCGCGAGUAUUUGACGUAGCGCGCCGCGCCGCCGGCCGCGUGCUGAACGGAGAUCGGGUAACAGUUGGCUCAGAGGAGCCUCUCAGGUACACAGGGCUGCCCCGCACCCCGUGCUCUUAGCUCAGGAAUAACGACUCAGGACUAUAACUACAAACGGAUGCCAGCACUUGUUUUGCCUUCAUUGUGUUUGAGGUAGUGCGUGCGAUGUGGUGGACUAAGAGAUCGCCUUAUAGAUAGGAAGUGCAGCUUGUACUUAUUUUUGGAAGGACGAGAGAUGUACUAGUGUAGAAUGGUGAAAGUGCGAACAUAUCUUCAUGCUAUGCAGAGUUUCUGACUGCCUUUGCUUGUGCAGCUGUCUGAAAUCAGGUAAUUCGUGUAUAGCGUUAAUACCUACAUGCUAGUUAUAAAGUAGUCUUGGGACUCGUCUCUUUUGAGAACUGAUGAACUGUAUCCUUGUCAAGCGUUGAUUUCUGUUGUCAUGAUACAAUAGUGGGUAUAAUGAUCACCGAAGUUCCUUUGCUCUAUUCUCGCAUGUGUAUCAACGAAUUAUGAAUCAGCAAAUGGCGACAGAUGGCAGUCAUUGCCUUCUGAGAUUAACCCAUCUUGUCCGAAGCAGUUAUUUGCGUACGCCUUUACGUGCUUAGGCUACUCAGGGAUCCUCGAUGGCAGCUGCAGUUCCGUAGUUGUUUGAUUUGUACUCGCCCUUCCUCACCCAGGCAUCGAUCGGUCGUUCGGGCUAUCAGCCCAUCACCUGUCGUUGCCCAAGCUUUGGAAGAAGCGAUGUUUUCGGUAUGGCGCUAUAUUUACUUGGAGCGGGUAGUUUUUUUUUUUUUUUGCAUCGCCUUGCGUGUGGAUACAUACGUGUUUGUAUAUAGGAUCGCCAGGCGGCAUUGUUGAACAAAUCAAAACGUGACUCAGGAUUGUACUCAGGAAUCAUGUCGACCACAGUAUGUUUGUGUGCGUGUGUGAGUGUGUGAGCCGUCGCUGGCCUGUGUCUCUGACGGAGUUGCGUGUUUGAUCUAGAUCGGUCGCCGGACCGUGUGUCGUGCGCGGUAUGAGGGAUCCGACUGUGCUGUUGUGCCCCUGCUCUGUGGUCCAGGGUGACGCUCGUACAAGGAUUGGUGCCUAACUCGGCUGGGAAACACUCUGCCGAAGGGGUGUGCGUAAAUCAAAACGGCGAGCCGAGAGCCGAGCGCUGACGAUUGUUUCGGACGGCGACCGCUCGGCUGGCUUCCAGCUGCAGUGUCUGACUAGACGCUGUGACCACCAAAUUAUGUUUCUAUGACGGGUCUUGCAGUUAUUGCUGAUUCGUCAGGCAUGUUUUGCGGAUAGGUUCGUCUUCGGGUACCGAUUAUCUUGAUUACUUUCGAUAUUGCCUGAGGUAUAUGAUGCAUAUUUUGCCAGUCUGCGUUUUGGAUCGUUUUGCGCUCUGCGAUGCCACUGGGCGUAGGGUGCCGUGAGUUACGUCCCGUUUGCGCGCGCGACUGGAAGGAUCAUGGUGCUGAAAUUGAGCCGUCUGCGUCGCUGUCAGUGCGGACGCCGUCUUCCAUUUUCUGACCGCUGGUGGUGGGGACUGUCAAUGCGCCUUGUGAAUCGACUAUAGCCUGGACGGACAAUACAGAUUGACUUCUA